Molecule: ribosomal RNA, 376 nt
Filed under: uncultured organism
Description: partial 16S ribosomal RNA
Rfam family: Bacterial small subunit ribosomal RNA
Source: RNAcentral
GUAGGUGGCAAGCGUUGUCCGGGAAUUAUUGGGGCGUAAAGCGCGCGCAGGCGGCUCUUUAAGUCUGAUGUGAAAGCCCACGGGCUCAACCGUGGAGGGUCAUUGGAAACUGGAGAACUUGAGUACAGAAGAGGAAAGCGGAAUUCCACGUGUAGCGGUGAAAUGCGUAGAGAUGUGGAGGAACACCAGUGGCGAAGGCGGCUUUCUGGUCUGUAACUGACGCUGAGGCGCGAAAGCGUGGGGAGCAAACAGGAUUAGAUACCCUGGUAGUCCACGCCGUAAACGAUGAGUGCUAAGUGUUAGGGGGUUUCCGCCCCUUAGUGCUGCAGCUAACGCAUUAAGCACUCCGCCUGGGGAGUACGGCCGCAAAGGCUGA